Molecule: ribosomal RNA, 615 nt
Filed under: uncultured fungus
Lineage: Eukaryota; Fungi
Description: LSU rRNA
Rfam family: Eukaryotic large subunit ribosomal RNA
Source: RNAcentral
GCAUAUCAAUAAGCGGAGGAAAAGAAACCAACAGGGAUUACCUCAGUAACGGCGAGUGAAGCGGUAAAAGCUCAAAUUUGAAAUCUGGCUCUUUUAGAGUCCGAAUUGUAAUUUGUAGAUGAUGCUUCGGGUGUGGUUCCGGUCUAAGUUCCUUGGAACAGGACGUCAUAGAGGGUGAGAAUCCCGUAUGUGACUGGAUACCUAUGCUCAUGUGAAGCUCUUUCGACGAGUCGAGUUGUUUGGGAAUGCAGCUCAAAAUGGGAGGUAUAUUUCUUCUAAAGCUAAAUAUUGGCCAGAGACCGAUAGCGCACAAGUAGAGUGAUCGAAAGAUGAAAAGCACUUUGUAAAGAGAGUUAAACAGUACGUGAAAUUGUUGAAAGGGAAGCGCUUGCAAUCAGACUUGCACUUGGUGUUCAUCAGGGUCUCGUACCCUGUGUACUUCAUCAAGUUCAGGCCAGCAUCAGUUUGAGUGGUUAGAUAAAGGCUUAGAGAAUGUGGCCCUCUUCGGGGGGUGUUAUAGCUCUAGGUGCAAUGUAGCCUACUUGGACUGAGGACCGCGCUUCGGCUAGGAUGCUGGCGUAAUGGUUGUAAGCGACCCGUCUUGAAACACGGACC